UACGUAGGGGGCAAGCGUUGUCCGGAUUUAUUGGGCGUAAAGAGCGUGUAGGCGGCCUGGUAGGUCAGCUGUGAAAACUCGAGGCUCAACCUCGAGACGCCGGUUGAAACCAUCUGGCUAGAGUCCGGAAGAGGAGAGUGGAAUUCCUGGUGUAGCGGUGAAAUGCGCAGAUAUCAGGAAGAACACCCGUGGCUAAGGCGGCUCUCUAGUACGGUACUGACGCUGAGACGCGAAAGCGUGGGGAGCGAACAGG
RNAcentral lists this ribosomal RNA (253 nucleotides) under uncultured bacterium. RNAcentral describes it as "partial 16S ribosomal RNA". It matches the Rfam family "Bacterial small subunit ribosomal RNA", at positions 524 to 776 of the family's 1533-position model. The record is from RNAcentral.